ACCGCCACCAUGUUGGACUGAGCAUCUUGCGCAGCUUCUGGAAAGACGGACUGACUCGCGGAGCUGAAGUGCUCUCGUAGCCGUUUCCCAUCAGGAACUCUGGCCUGAGGCACCAGGUGCGAGGCCUCUGCGUGCGGCCUUCUGUGAGCUUGUGAAACAGACCAAGCACAAAGGAAAAGAAACAGGAUCCUGCUGGCAACGGCGUGAUGACACGUUUCUGCUGACAGCUCUGAACUUUCAGGCAGAAUCUCUGUGAAUAAGUCACCGCUCCACCGCUUGUGUUCCUUUUCCUGGCUGAGGCAAUCCACAGGAGCGCAAGUCAAAAGUCAGAAGUGAGUACCACUGUCAGGUGGGCAGAUGAGAGGUGAGAUGUUUGGCCAUCCCCAGGGGCUCCUGGGCAGAAAGUCCCCCCAGCCCUAGACUUCAGCAUGGGACUGUUAGACCUCUGAGGCCUCAGACACUCUUACGUGGCAGGCUGCAUGCUCCAGGCUUCUCCCUCAAUAAUCCAUCUCUUCUUUGCGAGCUUCUGCAAAGCUGACUCUAAUAUAAAUCUGUUUUCAUUGUGUUGCUUGAUCUUCUUUCUAAGCAGAUUUCACUUUGGAAAUGUUUUGUUACCUCCUUUCAGUUGACUAUUUUUAGGCUACAAAUUCAAAAUUUAUGAACCAGCCUUUCAAUGAUUCAAGACCAAAUUUUGCUAGGGAGGUUGGAGUGAUUUUUGGGUGGUUAAAAAUGAGCAACAAACACUCUUCACCCACUAUUCUUACUGAGAAGUAAAUAAUAAUAGACAUAAAUGCGCACAGAACUCAAACAAACUGUCAACACAAAUUAAUUCUCCUGUUACACUUUGGCAGGGAAACAGAAGCAGCCAUUUGCCUUGUCUAGGUUCAGCCUCCUCCCUAGACAUUGUCUCAGAAGUUGCCAGAACACCACUGACACUGGCCACCCAUCUUCUCCGUGCUCACAUAAGGCUUAUAAGACUGAACUUGAAAAUACCCACAUGCUAAGACGUCAGUCAAAACGCUACCCCAAAGUUAUGUUAUUCAGUGACGCAGCAACAGACUCCUAGUCUUCAAAGCCGCAUUGAACCAUCUCCAAGUCACCAAAUAUUGAUGAAGCUCCUCUUAUGUAUCAGAAACUCUUUUUGAUGCUGAGAUUAGAGCUGAGAACAGGACAAACGGGGUUUCCGCUCGUAGGCUUACUUAUAUUCUGCAGAAGCUCUAGAGACAUUAAACUAGUAAACAAGUAUGAGACACUUCACAUUUUGGUGCAGGCAGCUAAGAAAAGGAACAAGGUGAUCCAAUCAAAAGUGAUUACGACUCUAGUUGUGACUUAAAAACGGAGAAACCUUUCUCCAAUCCAAAGAAGCACUACUGUAUAUCCUUUGAUAGAGAAGAUCAUUUGUCAGUACUAUCAACAAUUCUACAUUGAUGCAUUUUGUUCAGAACUUGCAUCCCAAUGUAAUGCUAUACAUUUCUUAAAUACUUAUGCCAUCACCAAAAGAAACACAGUGUAAAAGGAAUGUUAGCAUUUAAAACGAGUAGCUAACACAGUACUUCUCAUACACAAAGGAAAUAGUAUUUAAAAGAUAGAUGCCUACUUAACAAUCCUUGAGGGAAGACUGAAUAUUUAAAAAUCAAGAACAAACCGCAUUUUAGCCAAAAGGAGAGAUGGGUGAAGAAAACGCCCAUGGGUCCAGGUAGAUGCAGUCCAGAAGAACUCAGUUAAAAUUAGCCAGAUUACAAACACUCUGAUUUUUUGCAUAGGGAUGAAGAUGCUCUCUGAUGGGCUAUUUAGAAAAGAGGGCACUUGCAUUGUUUCAGAGGCUGAUGUGACAGUGACAGAUUUAUAGCAGAUUAAGGAGCUCAAUUUUAUUUCUUCCUCACAUCUACAUAAUGCUGACCUAUUUUUGAAGUCCAUGUCCUUAGAAAUUUUCUUGUCAGUGGCUACAGGAUAUUAGCAGUCAAGCUAUUUUAUAAAUGACAAGCUUGACUUUAUUUUUUUUCAACCCAGUGUAUUAGCCCAUUCAUCAAAAAUACACAUAAAAGGCAGUCUCGCUAGGCUGUAGAGAAAACAUACAGCAGCGUGGGUGCUGAAAAAAAAGUUCAGCUCAGCCAAAAUUCAAAAUAUUAACUCUCAAUUUUCUUGGCCACAAUUACUUACAUCUUUCUCAUCUUAAAAAAAAAAAAAUACCAAGCCUUUGACAUCAUGUAAACAAUUAAGAAAAAAAGUCCCCACAGUAUUUCUUCUAGAUACGUAAAUUGCUUUUGCUGCUUUAAGGUCCAAUUUGGGACUGUGGAAUGAGGCAACCCGGCAGUAUAUCCUAACUCAUUGAAUCUCCUCAAAAGCCCUGCAAAAGAAUUACCUUCAUCAUCAUCACCACUAUCAUCAUCGUCCUUCCCAGUCUAUAAAUUAGAAAGUUCAAGGAAUUCAUCCAGGUUCGAAGAGCUAAUGCAAGGCAGAAUGGUGAUUUUUAACUACAAGCCUUUUGACUCAAAAGUCCCAUGAAAACUCUUGACUCUUCUGCCGAGACCUCCUGAAUACUUCAUCAACCUGUCUAAAAGCACCUAACUCUCCACUCUCUAUUAGAAAUCCGUAUACAGUGCACGUAUGCCUCCCCUCUUAGCUCUGAGUAGAAUGCGUGCCUGAUGGUUCCUUGCAGUUAGGGGUUUAUUUAAAAAAGACGGAAUAACUACCACAGUCGCCACCGCUGUAAUCAGCCUGAACACUGUCUUCGAUCACAUUCUGUACCCGGGAUCGCAUGAGGUGUUUUAAAUCUUUUUUAAAAUUGAAGUCUGGUUGAUUUAUAAGGCUUUAGGUGUACAGCAAAGUGAUUCAGUCAUGCUAUGCAGGUCCAUUCUUUUUCAGAGUCUUUUCCAUUACAGGUAGUUGCAAGAUACUGAAUAUAGUUCCCUGUGCUAUAGUAGUGCUUUGUUUUCUAUCUAUUUUUUUAUACAAAAUAGAUGUAUAUCUAUUAAUCCCAAAUUCUUAAUUUAUCCCUCCUCCCUCUUCUCUCCUUGGAGUACCAUAAGUUGUUGUCUAUGUCUGUGAGCCUACUUCUAUUUUGUAAAAAAGUUCGUUUGUAUCAUUUUUUAAGAUUCCACAUGUCAGUGAUAUCAUAUGAUAUUUGCCUUUCUCUGACUUACUUCUAAGUGUUUUAAUUCAUUUUAAAAUAUAAUCCUCAAGUUAAUCCCAAGUAAUGUAAAUACCAACAGUAUUUCUAUUCUUUAAAUAGGAAAACUGAGGCUGAAGGAAGUUUCUUUUCAAGAUAACAGGACAAACACAGGAAUAAAUUUAGUAGUAUUAAGCACAUCAUAUACACAUAUACACAUAUUCUUUUCCUUUCGAGGUUACAGGAUUUUGAGUAUAGUUCCCUAUAAAAUAUAGUAGCUCCUUGAUGUUUACCUAUUUUAUAGGUAAAAAUAGCCAGACUGUGCAUAUAUCUCUAAGGUGGGGCUGAUAGGAUUUUCUGACAAAUUAGACAUGGGGGAUGAAGAAAAAGGAGUCCUUAAGGACAACACUGAGCAACUGGAUGGAUGGAGCAGCGCGUAGAGAAAGGAAGGUCAAAAGUUUAGUUUAGUUAAGAACCAACAUUUGAGACCCCUAGGAGAUAAAUGGAAGCGGUGAGUGGGCAGUUAAUUACAUGAGUCAUAAAUACCCAGACAGGACAGAAAAAUUAGGGCGCUCCCGUGAUAUGGAUUACUGAAAUCCACGAGACUGAGUGAGCUCAGCAAAAGAAUGAGUCUACACAGCGAGAAGAGCCCCAAGGGUUGACCACUGAGCCACUCCCCAGCUUAGAGAUAAGAAAGAUGUGGAACCAUCUGUAAAGGAGACAGAAUCACGGAGCAGGGAAACCAGCGGAAUGUGUGUUCCUGGAAGCUGAGUGGAGAGUGACUUCCAAAAAGGAGGCAGUGAUGACCUCGUCGGAUGCCGCUGAUGAGGCGAGCGGGACGCCACCUGAAAGCUGGUGUUGGAUUUUGCCCUGGCACUAUCCCUGGAGACUGGCCAUCCAGCUUUGCUGGCGUGAACGGGGUCGAGAUAUUUAACGGCCAUUUGAGUGACGUGUCCUCCUUCACGGGGCCCUGGGAUUUUCUCCCAAGUAUUAGUGCCAUGAAAAUAGCUGACUUGGGGGGAACCAUCGAUCGUUCUAAUUGCAGAUGUUUUUGCUCGGUAUUAAAGGAAUUCAUCUGGUUUCAA
This is a non-coding RNA of Sus scrofa (pig), 4194 nucleotides long. The record is from RefSeq and is a predicted model, not a curated record. Lineage: Eukaryota; Metazoa; Chordata; Mammalia; Artiodactyla; Suidae.